UACGUAGGGUGCAAGCGUUGUCCGGAAUUAUUGGGCGUAAAGAGCUCGUAGGCGGUCUGUCGCGUCGGGUGUGAAAAUCCAGGGCUUAACCCUGGACCUGCAUUCGAUACGGGCAGACUAGAGUUCGGUAGGGGAGACUGGAAUUCCUGGUGUAGCGGUGAAAUGCGCAGAUAUCAGGAAGAACACCCGUGGCGAAAGCGGCUCUCUGGAACGGUACUGACGCUGAGACGCGAAAGCGUGGGGAGCGAACAGG
RNAcentral lists this ribosomal RNA (253 nucleotides) under uncultured bacterium. RNAcentral's name for it is "partial 16S ribosomal RNA". It matches the Rfam family "Bacterial small subunit ribosomal RNA", at positions 524 to 776 of the family's 1533-position model. The record is from RNAcentral.